Long non-coding RNA from Hyla sarda, 2155 nucleotides. RefSeq lists it as uncharacterized. The record is from RefSeq and is a predicted model, not a curated record. The transcript has 5 exons. NCBI's taxonomy places the organism in Eukaryota, Metazoa, Chordata, Amphibia, Anura, Hylidae.
GUGACCACAGAGUCCGGAAGAGUAGGCCAGCGCAGCGGUGUGGAGCAGAAGUCUGUCUGACAGACCGGAGCCGCGCAAAGGAAGAGCCUGCCCUGAGGAGGCCGGCGGGCCGGCACAGUCGCACGGAGCAGAGGAAUUUACAAUGCCCACAGGGGAACGAACCCUGUGGACGUGCAGGCAGCCAAGUGGAUACAGUUCUGUCGGGGGUAAGAAAAUGGCUAUAAACAAGCAGAUCACGAAGAUUCGAUCCCCUCCGAUAUAAGACCUUCGUGUUUGGCCUCAUCAAGAAGUGAGUGCAAAUCAGCAAGGAAUUCCCUAGUAAGAUCAUGAGUUAAAGGUCCAUUCGUCAUUGAGUGGCAUGCUGGCAGGCGAGCCUAUCAGAAAGUGGAUUGAAAGGCAAAUCAGCAGUGUCGCUGGCACUCAAAGCUCCCGGCAGCAGGAAUUUUAAACUGAUCUGCUGCUUGGUCCUAGGGCCAACACUUUCAGCUUUAACUGAAGCCUGGCUGCGGCUGCAGCACAUGUAAUGUUGAGUUCCAGGGUUGGAAUGCCGCAAAUGAGGUGAUGUUGAGGAAGACAAUUUUGGCACUGAAGGUCAUGGAGGGCAUAUUUAAAAGCAUAAGAAUGGCUACACCGAAGGCAAACUUUCCUGCACAUAGCAAGCACAUUGCUGAGGCCACUACAAUUUCUAAAGAAAUGCUUAAUGACAAGAUUUAGCACAGGGAGAGUGUGCAAUGCCACCUAGUCGCAGUGCGGAGGAGGACCUGGAUGAAGAGGAGGAGGAUAGGUGGUAGGUGUCAAAGAUUGAACCGUACCGACGCACCUGUGUUAUUACUUUUUCCACUUUGAGGUAGAGCCUCAUUCUGCAAGAUGUUGUCCCAGAGGGCUGGGAAUUACAUGUAUUGUCCAUAGCUACUACUCCAAGUAUCUAACAUGGCAUGCACUGUGCUGCACACUGACAACUCCAUGGAGUUGGCACUCCCGGCUUUUUUGGGGAAAAAAAUGGUGACUAGGUAUUUGCAACCUUGGUUGGGCACUCCUCAUUAAUUGCAUAAAUGCUGUGGAGUCAAAAAGAUGGAAGAAGGCACCUGCAUUACCAAGACCUUGGCUGGGUGUGAAUUAUAGCAAACUACAACAAGAUGACUGGACAAAUACUGUUGUCUGUAUGACAUAGAUUCCCCAAUAGAUAACUGAUGGGAUAGAGGAGGAUACAACACUGAUGAAAACAAAAGAGAAUGUUUUGCCUGUGGACAAGACCUGGCUGCUAGACAGCAGGCCUACAUCUGUUCCAUUUGAAAGGUGUUCUGCCCCUACCUAGACUACACGCUUCUUCGCUGAUAGUACCAAUACCCUCCUUCUCUCAACAUGUCAACCUGGACCUCACAUCCAGUCCAAAACUACAUCGUCAUUAUCAAACUUAUCCUCAUCCCCCACCACUCCUCUCUGCAUGAACUUCUGUUAUCUUACCAUGGGCUUCUUGCUCCCCCCACCAUAUCCUCCAUGCCAAACUAGUGCUGUGCUUGGCCACAGCUUUCACUUCUUUAGCAACACACUCCAAAGGUUAACUGUCCUUACACAACUCCUCAUCAUGGUUAAUGAUAUCCUUCUGCUUAGCACUAGGGGAGGAGCAAAGACAGAGAUGAUAAAGCAGAGUCUCUAGGAGGGACAUUUCUACCACUACAUGUAACUCUAGACCAUGGGGAAUCCACUGACACCUGGCUCAAUGUCAUACCGCCAGACUAUUCUUUCUCCUGCUGGGAAGAUCUCACUUUUGUUUGCUGACAAGGCUGCUGCUGCUACUACCAUCAGGCACUUGGCUGCUGUUGCUUCCUGUACUAGUGCUGGUACUGACACCAAGAUUCUUACACGCAGACAACAUGGCUGGGGUACUCUGUCCUCUACUCAGUCUGACAAUUCCAUUACCAGAUAUGUUUUGUUUUUUGUUUCUUUAUUGAAAAAGAUUUGGAGGUUAUUUUCCUUUCACCUGCUAGUUAACUUUCACUCUCAAUGCUACAAAUGCUAUGAUUUUUAUUUUACUUAAAGGGGUACUCCGGCGCUUAGACAUCUUAUCCCCUAUCCAAAGGCUGUCCGGGCAUGCUGGGAAUUGUAGUUUUGCAACAUCUGGAGAUCCGCAGGUUGAAGACCACUGUAUAUGCUA